This 68-nucleotide transfer RNA is filed under the name bovine gut metagenome. It matches the Rfam family "tRNA". From Rfam's summary of the family: Transfer RNA (tRNA) molecules are approximately 80 nucleotides in length. Their secondary structure includes four short double-helical elements and three loops (D, anti-codon, and T loops). The record is from RNAcentral.
GUGACGUAGCCAAGUGGUAAGGCAUGGGACUGCAACUCCCUGAUCGCCGGUUCAAAUCCGGCCGUCAC